Molecule: ribosomal RNA, 372 nt
Filed under: uncultured organism
Description: bacterial SSU rRNA
Rfam family: Bacterial small subunit ribosomal RNA
Source: RNAcentral
CGUAGGAGGCGAGCGUUGUCCGGAUUUACUGGGCGUAAAGGGCGCGCAGGCGGCCUUGCAAGUAGCGUGUGAAAUCCACCUGCUCAACGGGUGGGGUGCAUGGUAGACUGCAGGGCUAGAGGACGGUAGAGGGGGGUGGAAUUGCUGGUGUAGCGGUGAAAUGCGUAGAGAUCAGCAGGAACACCCGUGGCGAAGGCGGCCCCCUGGGCCGUACCUGACGCUGAGGCGCGAAGGCUAGGGGAGCGAACGGGAUUAGAUACCCCGGUAGUCCUAGCAGUAAACGAUGGCCACUAGGUGUGGGGGGUGUUGACCCCUUCCGUGCCGAAGCUAACGCAUUAAGUGGCCCGCCUGGGGAGUACGGUCGCAAGACUA